This is a non-coding RNA of Paramuricea clavata, 2012 nucleotides long. NCBI's taxonomy places the organism in Eukaryota, Metazoa, Cnidaria, Anthozoa, Malacalcyonacea, Plexauridae. The record is from the annotation of a GenBank genome assembly.
GGGUAAUAUAUAUUAAUCCCACUGAGCUAUACUAUAUUACUGGAGGACCUGCUCGGGGAAAAAAAGUGUCGCCAAAAACAUGGCGGAUCUUACGCCAUUUCCAUGACAACACUUCCGAAAUUUUCAUGGUAAUUGCCACUGACCAACCGCGAUCCUAAGCUUUCGACGAUGUCCUUAACCCCCCUGGUUUUUGGACAGAAAUAUUAAAGAUAUUUCAAGUUUUCUGUUGUUUUUGAGCUAAAAAAUCUUAAUAUUUUCCUCCAACAUUACUUGUUUUACAACGCGGAGCGAGGGUGCGGGUUUGCUUCGCUUGUGGAUGCAGCAUUUCACUACAAAGAAAGACUAAUUCUUUCAGGUAAGAUUCACGAAACUUUUUUAUAACUUUCUAGAGUCACUAGACCCUUCGAUUAUGAUUUGUCAAAAACUCAUCAUCCUAAUAUAUACAGCAAAUAUUUCAAUAGGGGACAUAAAAGUAUUGUUAAUGAUUAAACAUUGUGUACAUGAAAUUAUGUUGUUUUGUGUCAGCACUGGCCUUUGUGGUUUUAUUGCCAGUUUUUAAUUUAUACUAAAAAUUGUGGUUGUUUACAUGUUCAUAUAUUUUAAAACGUUUAUUAAAUAUGGUGUGAAAUUUAUAUACCUGCCCAUCACAGUGCAGAAUUAGUAUAUAUAGAUAAGCACAAGACCAGAGAGAGUUGAGCCGUAGAGGAGACUACAUGUGACAAUCCAUGUGCCCUGUCCUGAUGAGCCCUAAAGACUGUCUUUAUUAUACAGUGGGUUAAUAAUUACACUAUCGGCAAAUAAACAGCCCCUGAGAUAUAUAGUCAGCCCAGUAUUAAACUGCAAUAAACCCUGGCUACCUUCUUAUUUUACUCAAUCUGUGAGAUUAAAUCCAGAUGUUUUACUCAUCAAGGGAAGAGUCUUAAAAAUAGAUAUCAUUUUGCACCAUUGCCUGUUUAGAACUAUGUAAAACUACUAUAUAGUUUUACACAGCUUGUUGGCAACAAAAAUGUUGGCAACAAAAAUGUUGCCCACAAGCUGCCGGAAUUUAAGUGAGUCACUGAUACACUAAUCAUGAAGUAAAUUUGGAAUGCUACAACAUUUCUAACAAGGGCAGAUUUUCAUUUAUUUAAAAGGAGGGGUAGAAGAAUUUCUGGUGGCCGGGUGCAAGCAGCACCACUCAGUGAGCUUUGGCAGGGGUUAGGUGUUUGGGUUAUAAAGUCUUUCACACAAAACGGGAGGGGAAUUUUGGUGGGGUUGAACACUCUAUUAGAGGGGUUUACCCCCCCCCCCCAAUGAUUUCUAACAUUGGGAGUAGUGAUGUCCAAUUGGCCAUGGCACAGACUGUGAGAAAUUAUGAUGAUGACAUAUUUUAGUUAGGAAUGUAAUUGCAUUGCUGAAUACUGAAACAUGACAUUUAAUUUUGAAGCUCGGAUCAAUGGUCUUGGUAAAAACAGAUCAUGUAAUUGCACCCUUGACUAGUAAAAUUGUCUGGCGUUAGGUAGAUUAAAAUAAUACAGUAAGGCAUAUCAAGACACAUUGCCACUUGGCACUUGUGAAGGGUUAACAUAUGUGUAUAUGAUAUUGUGAUGUAUUAAAGAUGUACUGUAUAAUGUAUCAUGAUAAUAAUGUCAUCUUUUAUUUUGCAGAAAUUAUAUGUUUAAUGUACACAAGAGAUGGCACUGAGGCAUCAACAUGCAGAAAAACAUGCAGAACAACAAAAUUAAUUAGUUAAUUAUAAUACCAUGCAUAACAACAUAAAUAAUUAUAUGAUUAUGAUAACUUUAUUGAAGUGUAAAUAAGUUUUAUUAAAUUAAUAGCAAUUAAAAUUAUACAUUUUUGUUUUUUAAAUUGUUUACUGCUAAUUAUUUUUCAAAAAAGUCAAAUACACCCUUCCGGAAUGUAUUUCACCUUGUCUAUGGAGCCUCAUUUUCAUGUAUGUGACAUGAGUUAAAGUCCAAUGUCUCAAUCGUGAAAAUGAGACUCUAUAUAUAGCCAAGGUGACAUAAUUUCUG